Molecule: ribosomal RNA, 254 nt
Filed under: uncultured bacterium
Lineage: Bacteria
Description: partial 16S ribosomal RNA
Rfam family: Bacterial small subunit ribosomal RNA
Source: RNAcentral
UACGUAGGGGGCGAGCGUUGUCCGGAGUUAUUGGGCGUAAAGGGCAUGCAGGCGGUCAGACGCGUUUUGUGUGACAGCGGAGGGCUUCACUCUCCGAGCAUACGAAAGACGGUGUGACUUGAGGGCUCGAGAGGGACACGGAAUUCCGGGUGGAGUGGUGAAAUGCGUAGAGAUCCGGAGGAACACCGAAGGCGAAGGCAGUGGCCUGGCGAGUAGCCUGACGCUGAGGUGCGAAAGCCAGGGGAGCGAACGGG